AAAAAGACAAACACUAGGUUUUCGAGUCUAACUUUGACUGUCCGUUUUAUAUGAAAUUUUUUUAUAAUUCUUAUUUUUAUUGUUGUUAGAUGAUAAAACAUGAGUAAUAUUUUAUGCGUAACUUAUCUUUUUAAUUUUUUUCAUAUUUUUUUCAAAUAAGACGAAUGGUCAAACGUUGGACAUGGAAAUCAGGGUUUGUCUUUUU
Molecule: non-coding RNA, 205 nt
Organism: Oryza glumipatula
Lineage: Eukaryota; Viridiplantae; Streptophyta; Magnoliopsida; Poales; Poaceae
Source: Rfam